This is a long non-coding RNA of Etheostoma spectabile (orangethroat darter), 124 nucleotides long. RefSeq lists it as uncharacterized. The record is from RefSeq and is a predicted model, not a curated record. The transcript has 2 exons. Lineage: Eukaryota; Metazoa; Chordata; Actinopteri; Perciformes; Percidae.
GACAGGCAGCUAGCAGAUAGUGAGGAGAUGUUUUUACAGUUUGGUCAGGGGACAGGCAAUAGCAGAUAGUGAGGAGAUGUUUUUACAGUGUGUUCAGGGACAGGCAGCUAGCAGAUAGUGAGGA